UGGGGAAUCUUGCGCAAUGCGCGAAAGCGUGACGCGGCAACGCCGCGUGGGGGAAGACGGCUUUCGGGUUGUAAACCCCUUUCAGGAGGGACGAAGGUUCACCGGUUAAUAGCCGUGUGGAUUGACGGUACCUCCAGAAGAAGCUCCGGCUAACUACGUGCCAGCAGCCGCGGUAAUACGUAGGGAGCAAGCGUUGUCCGGAAUCAUUGGGCGUAAAGCGCGCGUAGGCGGCCCUGUAAGUCUGCUGUGAAAGUCAAAGGCUCAACCUUUGAAAGCCGGUGGAUACUGCAGGGCUAGAGUCCGGAAGAGGCGAGUGGAAUUCCUGGUGUAGCGGUGGAAUGCGCAGAUAUCAGGAGGAACACCAAUAGCGAAGGCAGCUCGCUGGGACGGUACUGACGACUAAGGCGCGAAAGCGUGGGGAGCGAACAGGAUUAGAUACCCGUGGUAGUCCACGACCGUAAACGA
This 465-nucleotide ribosomal RNA is filed under the name uncultured Actinomycetes bacterium. Its description in RNAcentral is "bacterial SSU rRNA". It matches the Rfam family "Bacterial small subunit ribosomal RNA", at positions 355 to 809 of the family's 1533-position model. Lineage: Bacteria; Bacillati; Actinomycetota; Actinomycetes. The record is from RNAcentral.